CCUACGGGAGGCUGCAGUGAGGAAUAUUGGUCAAUGGGCGGAAGCCUGAACCAGCCAAGUAGCGUGCAGGAUGACGGCCCUACGGGUUGUAAACUGCUUUUAUACGGGAAUAACGCGCCUUACGUGUAGGGCUUUGCAUGUACCGUAUGAAUAAGGACCGGCUAAUUCCGUGCCAGCAGCCGCGGUAAUACGGAAGGUCCGGGCGUUAUCCGGAUUUAUUGGGUUUAAAGGGAGCGUAGGCCGCAUGUCAAGCGUGCUGUGAAAUGUCCGGGCUCAACCCGGGCCUUGCAGCGCGUACUGGCAGGCUUGAGUCCGCUGAAGGCAGGCGGAAUUCGUCGUGUAGCGGUGAAAUGCUUAGAUAUGACGAAGAACCCCGAUUGCGAAGGCAGCUUGCUGCAGCGGAACUGACGCCGAUGCUCGAAAGCGCGGGUAUCGAACAGGAUUAGAUACCCCAGUAGUC
This 460-nucleotide ribosomal RNA is filed under the name uncultured bacterium. RNAcentral describes it as "partial 16S ribosomal RNA". It matches the Rfam family "Bacterial small subunit ribosomal RNA", at positions 338 to 795 of the family's 1533-position model. The record is from RNAcentral.